Molecule: long non-coding RNA, 199 nt
Filed under: Lathyrus oleraceus (garden pea)
Lineage: Eukaryota; Viridiplantae; Streptophyta; Magnoliopsida; Fabales; Fabaceae
Description: Pisum sativum (pea) long non-coding RNA (PSAT_LNC002979)
Source: RNAcentral
UAGAAGCAAUGGACUCCUGGAGAAUUGAAUUCCAAAACAGUGGAGAAUCGAGCUCAAAUUUAAAUGAAUUUAUCAGGUUUAUCCUUUGAGAGUGAAGGGUUUUCAAUGGAGACUCAAAGCUGGCGCAAUGUGUGUCUUAUUUCUAAGCAAAUGCAAUUGUAUUUAUAGCCAAAUCCAUGUGAUAUUUGCACACUCUUUC